UGAUAAUGCUGGGAUGUGAUGGGGAGCGAAAUUUAGUAGCGAAGUAGCUGAUUUCACACUGUCAAGAAAAGUCUCUAUCGAGGUUAAAGGUACCCGUACCGCAAACCGACACAGGUGGGUGAGGAGAGUAUCCUAGGCCCGCGAGAGAACUGUUGUUAAGGAACUCGGCAAAAUGACCCCGUAACUUAGGGAUAAGGGGUGCCACCAUCCGGUGGCCGCAGAGAAUAGGCCCAAGCGACUGUUUACCAAAAACAUAGGUUU
This 261-nucleotide ribosomal RNA is filed under the name Clostridioides difficile. RNAcentral describes it as "partial 23S ribosomal RNA". It matches the Rfam family "Bacterial large subunit ribosomal RNA", at positions 1548 to 1822 of the family's 2925-position model. Lineage: Bacteria; Bacillati; Bacillota; Clostridia; Peptostreptococcales; Peptostreptococcaceae. The record is from RNAcentral.